Molecule: ribosomal RNA, 253 nt
Filed under: uncultured bacterium
Lineage: Bacteria
Description: partial 16S ribosomal RNA
Rfam family: Bacterial small subunit ribosomal RNA
Source: RNAcentral
UACGUAGGGGGCAAGCGUUGUCCGGAUUUACUGGGCGUAAAGCGCGCGUAGGCGGAACGAUCAGUCCGGUCUGAAAGCCCCCGGCUCAACCGGGGAGGGUGGCUGGAAACUGUCGUUCUUGAGGGCGAGAGAGGAGGGUGGAAUUCCUGGUGUAGCGGUGAAAUGCGCAGAUAUCAGGAGGAACACCGGUGGCGAAGGCGGUUCUCUGGGCAUGUCCUGACGCUGAGGAGCGAAAGUGUGGGGAGCGAACAGG